CAUUUCAAUAGGCAACAGGAGAAGGGGACAGAGCAAGCAGGAAUCUCAUGCCAUUGUAAAGUUUUUAGAUUUGAUUUGGGAUUUCUCAGUCUCCCCUGUGAGCAUUGCAAAAUAUUUCUGCCCAUUCUGGGUAUGAUUAAUCUAUCCAAUCCACAUGAAAAUUACCAUAUUGAGUGCUCCAAAAAUAUUCUGUGUUGAAGAAUCAGUUUAUAAGUUAAUUCCAUUGUAUAGAAUUAAUAAUAAUUAAUUCUACUCUCAAAGGCAACCCUAUGAUGUAGGUAUUAGUAUUUUCAUUUUAACAGAUGAAGAAUUUAAAGUUUGGAGAGCGGAUAAGCAACUUGCCAAAAAUCACAAAGCUGGGCCCCCAGUCAAAUCUAGUUUGGCAACCGCCAGAACCCAUGCUUUCAACCAUUCGCUACUGUCUCUUAUGACUACCAUGAACUUGGAAAUGGCACUGAAGAUAGAAUUCCAAAGAUGUCAGCACCUUGACAGAAUAUUCUUCCCUGGAACUCAGCCACCAAUCAGUGAAGAAGCCCAAACAGCUACAUGGAGAGGCUCACAUGGAAAAGAACCCAGGCCCUCGGCCAACAGCUUCAACUUAGCUCCCAUAUGGCAGCCAGAAUCAACUGCCAGCCACAUGUCUGAGGCCAUCUGGACCCUCAAGCCAUCCUAGCACCCCAGGCAACACCACAUGAAGCAGAAGGAUUGUCCUAUCCAACUAAAAUGGGAGAAAAAAAAAAUAAAAGCAAGGUAAGAAGGAAGGUGAGCAUUACAGUUUUAAAUAGAGUAUCCAGGGGAGACCUCAUGAGAAAGAUGAACGAGGGAGUGAGCCCUAUCAAUAUCUGGAGGAAGAGUGUAACAGGCAGAGGGAACAGCCAGUGCAAAAGGCCCUAAUCUAUGAGCACCUGGCAUGUUUGAGAUAAUCAGUGAAGCCAGUGUAGUUUCAAAAAGGUGAUCAAGAAGAGGAGUGGUCCAAGAGGUAACACAGGUUCAUAGAAGGUGGGGAUCUAGAGUG
Molecule: long non-coding RNA, 1015 nt
Filed under: Homo sapiens (human)
Lineage: Eukaryota; Metazoa; Chordata; Mammalia; Primates; Hominidae
Description: non-protein coding lnc-TPBG-9:2
Source: RNAcentral